CCUACGGGAGGCUGCAGUGGGGAAUAUUGGACAAUGGGCGAAAGCCUGAUCCAGCCAUGCCGCGUGUGUGAAGAAGGCCUUCGGGUUGUAAAGCACUUUCAGUGGGGAAGAAAGCCUUGGGGCUAAUACCCUCGAGGAAGGACAUCACCCACAGAAGAAGCACCGGCUAACUCCGUGCCAGCAGCCGCGGUAAUACGGAGGGUGCGAGCGUUAAUCGGAAUUACUGGGCGUAAAGCGCGCGUAGGCGGUCUGAUAAGCCGGUUGUGAAAGCCCCGGGCUCAACCUGGGAAUGGCAUCCGGAACUGUCAGGCUAGAGUGCAGGAGAGGAAGGUAGAAUUCCCGGUGUAGCGGUGAAAUGCGUAGAGAUCGGGAGGAAUACCAGUGGCGAAGGCGGCCUUCUGGACUGACACUGACGCUGAGGUGCGAAAGCGUGGGUAGCAAACAGGAUUAGAUACCCGUGUAGUC
RNAcentral lists this ribosomal RNA (465 nucleotides) under Vreelandella stevensii. Its description in RNAcentral is "partial 16S ribosomal RNA". It matches the Rfam family "Bacterial small subunit ribosomal RNA", at positions 338 to 795 of the family's 1533-position model. The record is from RNAcentral. Lineage: Bacteria; Pseudomonadati; Pseudomonadota; Gammaproteobacteria; Oceanospirillales; Halomonadaceae.